RNAcentral lists this ribosomal RNA (253 nucleotides) under uncultured bacterium. RNAcentral's name for it is "partial 16S ribosomal RNA". It matches the Rfam family "Bacterial small subunit ribosomal RNA", at positions 524 to 776 of the family's 1533-position model. The record is from RNAcentral.
UACGAGGGGGGCGAGCGUUGUUCGGAAUUAUUGGGCGUAAAGGGUGCGUAGGCGGUUUGGUAAGUCUGAUGUGAAAUCUAUGGGCUCAACUCAUAGUCUGCAUCGGAAACUGCCGGGCUUGAGUAUGGGAGAGGUGAGUGGAAUUCCUGGUGUAGCGGUGAAAUGCGCAGAUAUCAGGAGGAACACCGGUGGCGAAGGCGGUUCUCUGGGCAUGUCCUGACGCUGAGGAGCGAAAGUGUGGGGAGCGAACAGG